CGAGAUGCAAGCGCUUAUGGC
Molecule: non-coding RNA, 21 nt
Filed under: Arabidopsis thaliana (thale cress)
Lineage: Eukaryota; Viridiplantae; Streptophyta; Magnoliopsida; Brassicales; Brassicaceae
Source: RNAcentral